GUGGGGAAUCUUCCGCAAUGGACGAAAGUCUGACGGAGCAACGCCGCGUGAGUGAAGAAGGUUCUUGGAUCGUAAAGCUCUGUCUUCAGGGACGAAUGUUAUCUUUGUGAAUAAUGGAGGUAAAUGACGGUACCUGAGGAGGAAGCCACGGCUAACUACGUGCCAGCAGCCGCGGUAAUACGUAGGUGGCGAGCGUUGUCCGGAAUUAUUGGGCGUAAAGAGCGCGUAGGCGGGAUGAUAAGUCUGUUGUAAAAGUGCGGGGCUCAACCCCGUAAGGUCAAUGGAAACUGUCAUUCUUGAGUGCAGGAGAGGAAAGUGGAAUUCCCAGUGUAGCGGUGAAAUGCGUAGAUAUUGGGAGGAACACCAGUGGCGAAGGCGACUUUCUGGACUGUGUCUGACGCUGAGGCGCGAAAGCUAGGGGAGCGAACGGGAUUAGAAACCCCGGUAGUCC
RNAcentral lists this ribosomal RNA (451 nucleotides) under uncultured bacterium. Its description in RNAcentral is "bacterial SSU rRNA". It matches the Rfam family "Bacterial small subunit ribosomal RNA", at positions 354 to 796 of the family's 1533-position model. The record is from RNAcentral.